UUUAGUAAGAACUAAGAUUCAAACCUAAUUUGAUCAGGUUAAGGAUUCUAGAAACUGAAGUACUACUUACACUCACUGCUUUUAUAAAAAUAACUGUGGAUAUGUAGUCAAGAGAAUAAUAAAAAAAAUCCUCUGCAUGAAACAAGGUACUUCUUGGCCAAGCUCUGAAGUUGUAUCAUAUGUUCUUAUUUCAGAGAAAGAAAAAAAAAAAAAAAACACUAAAUAUCUGCUCUUACUACAAUAGGUAGUAAGGAAUAAAACUAGUAUAAAACCUUACACAGAUGAGGGUCAUUAUACAUGUUGGUCUCAUAAAGUAACACCUUUUAUAUUUUUGUUUAAGAUGAACAUUGAUGUGAUGCCAUUUUCAAUUCUUUAUAACUUUUCAGGUUUCCUAAUCACUCCCAGUUCUCUGCUUUUAUAACUACUUCAUUUUUCAUCCUCAAAUAUGAUGAAAUUACACAAGCUAUAUAUAGUACAAUUCAAGACCACAUAGUGGGUCCUGAUCUUCCUAAAUACCUAAAUACCCUAAAGUAAUAGCAAAAAACCAAACAGUCCACAGUAAUCCUAGCACAAUCUUGAUGGAGCUUAAACAUCUAGUGAAAUCUCUUGGAAUUAAAUUGCCGAAAGUCAAUCAUCAUAACAAAUAUUAAAACUUUAGAAUUUUAAUAUUUCAUUCGCCAAUCAUAAUUUAUGAUGUAUGACUCACUAUGUCAGCAGAUAAAAGUCUCAGUGUUAAAAACACACACCCUUGCUUUCUUUUGUCUUUUUACCUCUGGAUCAGAUAGGUGCAACCCGGGGUGGACCAGAAAAGUAAUGCAACAGAAUCAAAGGUGUUGAGAAGCAAACAAGAACAUGUUCCACCUCUAAUUCAAUAUUAAGCUCCUGGAGAACACCCUUACAAAUCUUCUGCCAUAACUGUCUUUCUGCUCCCCUCUCCUUCGUUUUGUUACUGAGCUGGGCUUCUUAUUAUGACAAUUCUUGGCACUUUUAUACCUGUGAGAGGGGAAAUGACUCUGGAUGUAACAGUAGCCAGGGAAGCCCAGGGACCAUCAAAAGGAAGAGCAGAUGGCUGGCUCCCUUUCCGCAGCACUCUCCCCCAACAGGGCUCCUGUUGAGGAAGUAUUUAUUGGAACAUUCUGAUUUCCCUGAGCAGCUCCUCUGCCCUCACAUCUCUUUCUCUUUUAUUCCUGUAGUUUUCAAAGCUAAACUCGCAAAUGGACCGCAUGAUUCCCAGUGGAAUUCAUCUCACACCAAUUCCGUCCAUUUCCAUUUUUUGUCUUUGUUCUGCGCAAAUAAAAUACAUGAGAUUUCACCAGGCACCUAGAAUUUUAGACGUUUGUGUAUUUAAUCCUGACUCCAUCAAGGAGUCAACAUACAUAAAAACAAGGCCUGGCUUUUCUCAAUGCUCGUCCCAGACUUGGGUUCCCAGCAAUCAUUACAAGGUACAGCCCUAGUCGGAAACUCCCAGCAUUGCUCAGGGACAAAAACGGGGUUUUCCAGAGAUCUGUCCCUUGGGGUUUAAAAGCGCGUCCCCAGGGAACUUCGCUUUCAGUUCUCUAGGAAGUUUGGAGCUGCUAGAACCCAGCCACUUGCUGAACGCAGGCUGCCCAUGGCUUUAUGCUCCAGUGGUAGAAUUAGAGGGAGGCAAGAUUUUCCUCUGGCACACAUAGUUCCAAUCAAGAAGAAAGCAGGCAAAGCAAAGAAUGGGUCUUGAUCCAGUGUUCCGGUGGAGUCAUGUCUUCUGCAUGCUGUGGGCAGCCAGAUAAAGGGACAUUAAAUCAUCCUUCUCUUAUGAUAUCAGUAAGCACAUGAUGUUAUAUCUGAGAAACAAAAAAAGAGUGGCAUGAUGGAGAAACAAAAUUUCAAGAAGAGCCUGUGCCAGCACAGAAUGUGCAGAAGCUCCUGGGUAUAUCAUCAGCUUCCAUAAAGUUUGAUGCUUCUAUCAAAAUGGACUCUGAGAGACUGUCUUAAAGAGAAGAUAUCUUUGUUUAUAGAAGCCCAGACCCAGUGACUGAUCAAGGAAGAAAUCAGAAAAUGGCUUCCUCCCACAACCUGAGACAAACUUCAACCAAACUGAACUCCCCUAAGAAAAAGAAACAUCUAUCUAAAUUAAUGAAGUAAACAAGUGAUGUAGACAAGAGUCUUUCUAUCUGAAGCUCCACUUUCUACCUAAGAAAAAUAUUUCACAGGAAGAAAAGAUUUGAGAUCUGAUGGUUGGCCCAGAAAAGAGAUGACCACUAGAGAUUGCAACCUUGGUGACCUCAUCUAUGUAGUUAAGAUCUCCACCACUACCUUCGAUAGCUUCAUUGUGCCCUGGAAAUCCAAGCUGCAAUCCCUUUGUUUAGCUGCAUGUAAUUUUCAGCUAUCUCACCUUUCUUGGAGUCUCAUACAAUAUGUGUGUGCCUCCUGUGCUUAGGCAUAUAAAAUAUUCAUGUGUUCUUUUUAUCUGUCCAUGGUCAGUUUAUUGCACAGACUAAAAUUAUUGAAACUUGAGACAGAAAAUUAAAUUUAAAACUGUUUUGUAAAUCCAAUAAUACACCUUAAAAAUAUUCUAGAUUUUCAGGGUGUAUUUUCUCACUUCUAUUUUAUACAUGAAAGGACUAGAUAAUCUUUCAAUAAUGAUGGAAGCAAAUCAUUUUCUUUAUAUUUUCAUUGAAACAUACAACCUGAAAAUAUUAAUUGUGUUUUUGAAAAUUCCAUUUCCAAUUGGAGAUCUCUUUAAUUUCAAUCAAUUUAAAAUGUGUAAUAUCAUAUUAAAUACAUGGAUGGGAUACAAAUAUUUAACUAAUAAAACAAGUUUAUUAUGCUUAAAAGUAUUCUGGACACUAAUGUCUACUUCACAGUCAACUUUUCAGGGGACUCAACCUGUGACGGGGUAGACAUGAUAACAUCUCUAAAAUUGAUAAUGUGAAAAUUAUGUAAGAAUGCAUUUAAAAUCACUUUACUUUCAAGAAAAUUUCCAAAAAUGAGUUUAUUAUAAUUCAUAAAAAUGAACUUGAACUAAUAUUUACAUAAGACAUAAAUUGUUGUGCUAACAGAGACAUUACUUCAAUUAUUAACUACAAGAAUGCAUUAUAGACAGGUGUAAUUCCAGCACUCAGGCUAAGGCAGGAGGAUUGUUGCAAGUUCAAGACCAGCCUGGGCUACAAAUUGAGCUCAAGAUCACCCUGAAUGACAUAGCAAAACUCUGCUGCAAAAAAAAAUUUCAUGAAUGUGUAUUUAUUUAAAGAACAACUCUAAUAACUCAUUGAAAAAUGGGUAUACAAAGACUAUUACUGGUCAGACAUUAUGCUCAUCUAUUAUCUUCAUGAAAAAAUGUUGUGGCCAUGAGAACUCUUUUUCUGGGGGGGGGGGACAAUGAUGAAAGAAUGAAGAAAAUAAAGAUAGAAAGCUAGGGUCAAGUUGAGCCCUUCCUCCGAAUGGGAGGAAAAGACUACUCAAUCUCCACAAUGUGUUUAUUUAUACAUUUGUCAUAUUACACCACUUUGCUUAACUAGCUCACUCCUUUUACCCCAUUUUCUUGGGGCUAGAACACCUGUUUGCCUCUAGCACUUGGUGCUCUCAGGGGGCUUUUUUGGCGUUCCAUGCCUUUUGGGCUCUCCUCUGCGCUCUGUGCUUUCUGCUCCACACGUGUAAGCAAUCACUAACUCAGUAGCUACCAACAAAAAAUAUGUUUUAUACAAUGAAAAUAGCAUAUCCAUAAUUCUGCUCUAUGCCUGGCUUACAACUGUUGUCUCUGUGUUCCAAAUGGCUUGGUGUCUCUUCUGUAUUUUUCAUAUUUUAAGUAACUACUUUCACUAAUAGUUUCCUUAAGAUAAACCAAGAUGGUUUUGGUGAAUGUCCACUUUUUACUGUCAGGGCAUUCUCAAAUAGUAGUAUGUGGUACAUAUAUUGUGAGCCAUUUUCAAAUUGACAAGUGGUAGAGUCACAAAAAUAGCAAUAAAUUGCUUCAUUUUUCUUUAUCCUUUUUGAUGCAUUUUAACUAAUUUCUCACUUAUACAAAUAAUAUUCAUUUAAGAUGUCUGGUAAAAAUGUUUCACAUUAUAUCUCUAUACAGUAAAAAAAAAAACAAGAAUAAAAAAGCAAUAAAGUGCUGUGACAUGGAUGAACCUUGAAAAUAGUACGAAAAGAGAAGCCAUUCAUAAAAGAUCACAUAGUGUAUGCUUAAAUUUAUAUGAAAUUAACAGAAUAGGCCAAUCAAAAAUAAAAAUGUUAGUAGUUUUAUAGAGUGAGGCCAGAGAGAGGGAUGAAUCUUGUGGAUUUGAGUAGUAAUGAGAGAAACACUGGGAACUGUUGCUCCUAGGUCAUUUGGUGACCUUACUCAUGGUACCAGGGCUGAGAGGCUGCCACUUAAUGUGCUCAUUGGAAGAAAUGGAAAGUUAUCACUUGGAUUUGUGGGAAAUAUGUAUUGGGAGAUAGAGAAUGAAUAGUUCUACUGUGGAAUACAUAAAAUAUUACCUUAAAAUGUUUUUGUUAUUUUUAUAUCCUUUGAUUCAACAUGUAUUCAUCCUUUCAACAAUAAUAAUAAAAGAAAUGUAAAUAUAAUAAAAAGGUAAGAAUAUAUUCCCAAUGUUCAAUAAAGUUCAUAAGUAUAACAACUGAAAAA
RNA transcript from Cavia porcellus (domestic guinea pig), 4606 nucleotides. It is a transcript of the gene named histone H3.v1-like, with no coding region annotated. The record is from RefSeq and is a predicted model, not a curated record. The transcript is spliced from 6 exons. NCBI's taxonomy places the organism in Eukaryota, Metazoa, Chordata, Mammalia, Rodentia, Caviidae.